This 97-nucleotide non-coding RNA is filed under the name Microbacterium sediminis. RNAcentral describes it as "Glycine sequence". It matches the Rfam family "Glycine riboswitch aptamer". Rfam says of the family: This family represents the bacterial glycine riboswitch. Glycine riboswitches usually consist of two metabolite-binding aptamers domains with similar structures in tandem. The record is from Rfam by way of RNAcentral. Lineage: Bacteria; Bacillati; Actinomycetota; Actinomycetes; Micrococcales; Microbacteriaceae.
ACGACCUGUGCGGGAGAGCCUCGAUCGGCACGCGAUCGGGCACCGAAGGAGCAAGCCUCCCCGCCAAUCUCUCAGGUACGCGUACCGCGCAGGCCGG